AUUGAACGCUGGCGGCAGGCUUAACACAUGCAAGUCGAGCGGAAACGAUGAUAGCUUGCUAUCAGGCGUCGAGCGGCGGACGGGUGAGUAAUACUUAGGAAUCUACCUAGUAGUGGGGGAUAGCACGGGGAAACUCGUAUUAAUACCGCAUACGACCUACGGGAGAAAGGGGGCAGUUUACUGCUCUCGCUAUUAGAUGAGCCUAAGUCGGAUUAGCUAGAUGGUGGGGUAAAGGCCUACCAUGGCGACGAUCUGUAGCUGGUCUGAGAGGAUGAUCAGCCACACCGGGACUGAGACACGGCCCGGACUCCUACGGGAGGCAGCAGUGGGGAAUAUUGGACAAUGGGGGAAACCCUGAUCCAGCCAUGCCGCGUGUGUGAAGAAGGCCUUUUGGUUGUAAAGCACUUUAAGCAGUGAAGAAGACUCCGUGGUUAAUACCCACGGACGAUGACAUUAGCUGCAGAAUAAGCACCGGCUAACUCUGUGCCAGCAGCCGCGGUAAUACAGAGGGUGCAAGCGUUAAUCGGAAUUACUGGGCGUAAAGGGAGCGUAGGUGGCUCUAUAAGUCAGAUGUGAAAUCCCCGGGCUUAACCUGGGAACUGCAUCUGAAACUGUAGAGCUAGAGUAUGUGAGAGGAAGGUAGAAUUCCAGGUGUAGCGGUGAAAUGCGUAGAGAUCUGGAGGAAUACCGAUGGCGAAGGCAGCCUUCUGGCAUAAUACUGACACUGAGGCUCGAAAGCGUGGGUAGCAAACAGGAUUAGAUACCCUGGUAGUCCACGCCGUAAACGAUGUCUACUAGUCGUUGGGUCCCUUGAGGACUUAGUGACGCAGCUAACGCAAUAAGUAGACCGCCUGGGGAGUACGGCCGCAAGGUUAAAACUCAAAUGAAUUGACGGGGGCCCGCACAAGCGGUGGAGCAUGUGGUUUAAUUCGAUGCAACGCGAAGAACCUUACCUGGUCUUGACAUAUCUAGAAUCCUGCAGAGAUGCGGGAGUGCCUUCGGGAAUUAGAAUACAGGUGCUGCAUGGCUGUCGUCAGCUCGUGUCGUGAGAUGUUGGGUUAAGUCCCGCAACGAGCGCAACCCUUGUCCUUAGUUACCAGCGGGUUAAGCCGGGAACUCUAAGGAUACUGCCAGUGACAAACUGGAGGAAGGCGGGGACGACGUCAAGUCAUCAUGGCCCUUACGACCAGGGCUACACACGUGCUACAAUGGUAGGUACAGAGGGCAGCUACACAGCGAUGUGAUGCGAAUCUCAAAAAGCCUAUCGUAGUCCAGAUUGGAGUCUGCAACUCGACUCCAUGAAGUAGGAAUCGCUAGUAAUCGCGGAUCAGAAUGCCGCGGUGAAUACGUUCCCGGGCCU
Molecule: ribosomal RNA, 1360 nt
Filed under: uncultured bacterium
Lineage: Bacteria
Description: bacterial SSU rRNA
Rfam family: Bacterial small subunit ribosomal RNA
Source: RNAcentral